This 253-nucleotide ribosomal RNA is filed under the name uncultured bacterium. Its description in RNAcentral is "partial 16S ribosomal RNA". It matches the Rfam family "Bacterial small subunit ribosomal RNA", at positions 524 to 776 of the family's 1533-position model. The record is from RNAcentral.
UACGUAGGGUCCGAGCGUUGUCCGGAAUUAUUGGGCGUAAAGGGCUCGUAGGCGGUUUGUCGCGUCGGGAGUGAAAACUCAGGGCUCAACCCUGAGCGUGCUUCCGAUACGGUCAGACUAGAGGUAUGCAGGGGAGAACGGAAUUCCUGGUGUAGCGGUGGAAUGCGCAGAUAUCAGGAGGAACACCGGUGGCGAAGGCGGUUCUCUGGGCAGGACCUGACGCUGAGGAGCGAAAGCAUGGGGAGCGAACAGG